Molecule: ribosomal RNA, 439 nt
Filed under: uncultured bacterium
Lineage: Bacteria
Description: bacterial SSU rRNA
Rfam family: Bacterial small subunit ribosomal RNA
Source: RNAcentral
GUGGGGAAUUUUGCGCAAUGGGCGAAAGCCUGACGCAGCAACGCCGCGUGGAGGAUGAAGGUCUUCGGAUCGUAAACUCCUGUCAGUGGGGACGAAAGCCCCGAAAGGGGCCUGACUGUACCCGCUGAGGAAGCCACGGCUAACUCCGUGCCAGCAGCCGCGGUAAUACGGAGGUGGCAAGCGUUGUUCGGAAUUACUGGGCGUAAAGGGCGCGUAGGCGGCAUGGCAAGUCAGAUGUGAAAGCCCCGGGCUUAACUCGGGAAUUGCAUCUGAAACUGCUUUGCUUGAGUCCCGGAGGGGGUAGUGGAAUUCCCAGUGUAGCGGUGAAAUGCGUAGAUAUUGGGAGGAACACCUGUGGCGAAGGCGGCUACCUGGACGGUGACUGACGCUGAGGCGCGAAAGCUAGGGGAGCAAACGGGAUUAGAUACCCGAGUAGUCC